AACGCUGGCGGCGUGCCUAACACAUGCAAGUCGAGCGAGGACAGUCCUUCGGGGCUGAGCCGAGCGGCGGACGGGUGCGUAACACGUGAGCAACCUGUCUUCCGUGCGGGGGAUAACCCGGGGAAACUCGGGCUAAUACCGCAUGGUCGGACCUCUCGCCUGGGGGGUUCGGGAAAGAUGGCCUCUUAACAAUGCUAUCGUGCGGAGAGGGGCUCGCGGGCUAUCAGCUGGUUGGUGAGGUAAUGGCUCACCAAGGCGACGACGGCUAGGGGGUCGGAGAGGACGACCCCCCACAUUGGAACUGAGACACGGUCCAGACUCCUACGGGAGGCAGCAGUGGGGAAUUUUGGGCAAUGGCCGAAAGGCUGACCCAGCGACGCCGCGUGCGGGAGGACGCCCUUCGGGGUGUAAACCGCUGUCAGAGGGGACGAAAGGCCGGGGUGGGAAUACUGCCCUGGAGUGAGGGUACCCUCAGAGGAAGCACCGGCUAACUCUGUGCCAGCAGCCGCGGUAAUAC
This 517-nucleotide ribosomal RNA is filed under the name uncultured bacterium. RNAcentral's name for it is "bacterial SSU rRNA". It matches the Rfam family "Bacterial small subunit ribosomal RNA", at positions 32 to 526 of the family's 1533-position model. The record is from RNAcentral.